UGAGGAAUAUUGGUCAAUGGGCGAGAGCCUGAACCAGCCAAGUAGCGUGAGGGAUGACUGCCCUAUGGGUUGUAAACCUCUUUUGCAGGGGGGUAAAGUGGUCCACGUGUGGACCAUUGCAAGUACCCUGCGAAUAAGGAUCGGCUAACUCCGUGCCAGCAGCCGCGGUAAUACGGAGGAUCCGAGCGUUAUCCGGAUUUAUUGGGUUUAAAGGGAGCGUAGGCGGGGGUUUAAGUCAGCUGUGAAAUGCCGUGGCCCAACCAUGGAACUGCAGUUGAAACUGGACCUCUUGAGAGUACAUAAGGAAGGCGGAAUUCGUGGUGUAGCGGUGAAAUGCAUAGAUAUCACGAAGAACUCCGAUUGCGAAGGCAGCUUUCCGGGGUACAUCUGACGCUGAAGCUCGAAAGUGCGGGAAUCAAACA
RNAcentral lists this ribosomal RNA (422 nucleotides) under uncultured bacterium. RNAcentral describes it as "bacterial SSU rRNA". It matches the Rfam family "Bacterial small subunit ribosomal RNA", at positions 355 to 774 of the family's 1533-position model. The record is from RNAcentral.